AGGGCGGGACACGUGGUAUCCUGUCUGAAUAUGGGGGGCCCAUCCUCCAAGGCUAAAUACUCCUGACUGACCGAUAGUGAACCAGUACCGUGAGGGAAAGGCGAAAAGAACCCCGGCGAGGGGAGUGAAAAAGAACCUGAAACCGUGUACGUACAAGCAGUGGGAGCACGCUUAGGCGUGUGACUGCGUACCUUUUGUAUAAUGGGUCAGCGACUUAUAUUCUGUAGCAAGGUUAACCGAAUAGGGGAGCCGAAGGGAAACCGAGUCUUAACUGGGCGUUAAGUUGCAGGGUAUAGACCCGAAACCCGGUGAUCUAGCCAUGGGCAGGUUGAAGGUUGGGUAACACUAACUGGAGGACCGAACCGACUAAUGUUGAAAAAUUAGCGGAUGACUUGUGGCUGGGGGUGAAAGGCCAAUCAAACCGGGAGAUAGCUGGUUCUCCCCGAAAGCUAUUUAGGUAGCGCCUCGUGAAUUCAUCUCCGGGGGUAGAGCACUGUUUCGGCAAGGGGGUCAUCCCGACUUACCAACCCGAUGCAAACUGCGAAUACCGGAGAAUGUUAUCACGGGAGACACACGGCGGGUGCUAACGUCCGUCGUGAAGAGGGAAACAACCCAGACCGCCAGCUAAGGUCCCAAAGUCAUGGUUAAGUGGGAAACGAUGUGGGAAGGCCCAGACAGCCAGGAUGUUGGCUUAGAAGCAGCCAUCAUUUAAAGAAAGCGUAAUAGCUCACUGGUCGAGUCGGCCUGCGCGGAAGAUGUAACGGGGCUAAACCAUGCACCGAAGCUGCGGCAGCGACGCUUAUGCGUUGUUGGGUAGGGGAGCGUUCUGUAAGCCUGCGAAGGUGUGCUGUGAGGCAUGCUGGAGGUAUCAGAAGUGCGAAUGCUGACAUAAGUAACGAUAAAGCGGGUGAAAAGCCCGCUCGCCGGAAGACCAAGGGUUCCUGUCCAACGUUAAUCGGGGCAGGGUGAGUCGACCCCUAAGGCGAGGCCGAAAGGCGUAGUCGAUGGGAAACAGGUUAAUAUUCCUGUACUUGGUGUUACUGCGAAGGGGGGACGGAGAAGGCUAUGUUGGCCGGGCGACGGUUGUCCCGGUUUAAGCGUGUAGGCUGGUUUUCCAGGCAAAUCCGGAAAAUCAAGGCUGAGGCGUGAUGACGAGGCACUACGGUGCUGAAGCAACAAAUGCCCUGCUUCCAGGAAAAGCCUCUAAGCAUCAGGUAACAUCAAAUCGUACCCCAAACCGACACAGGUGGUCAGGUAGAGAAUACCAAGGCGCUUGAGAGAACUCGGGUGAAGGAACUAGGCAAAAUGGUGCCGUAACUUCGGGAGAAGGCACGCUGAUAUGUAGGUGAAGUCCCUUGCGGAUGGAGCUGAAAUCAGUCGAAGAUACCAGCUGGCUGCAACUGUUUAUUAAAAACACAGCACUGUGCAAACACGAAAGUGGACGUAUACGGUGUGACGCCUGCCCGGUGCCGGAAGGUUAAUUGAUGGGGUCAGCGCAAGCGAAGCUCUUGAUCGAAGCCCCGGUAAACGGCGGCCGUAACUAUAACGGUCCUAAGGUAGCGAAAUUCCUUGUCGGGUAAGUUCCGACCUGCACGAAUGGCGUAAUGAUGGCCAGGCUGUCUCCACCCGAGACUCAGUGAAAUUGAACUCGCUGUGAAGAUGCAGUGUACCCGCGGCAAGACGGAAAGACCCCGUGAACCUUUACUAUAGCUUGACACUGAACAUUGAGCCUUGAUGUGUAGGAUAGGUGGGAGGCUUUGAAGUGUGGACGCCAGUCUGCAUGGAGCCGGCCUUGAAAUACCACCCUUUAAUGUUUGAUGUUCUAACGUGGACCCGUGAUCCGGGUUGCGGACAGUGUCUGGUGGGUAGUUUGACUGGGGCGGUCUCCUCCUAAAGAGUAACGGAGGAGCACGAAGGUUGGCUAAUCCUGGUCGGACAUCAGGAGGUUAGUGCAAUGGCAUAAGCCAGCUUGACUGCGAGCGUGACGGCGCGAGCAGGUGCGAAAGCAGGUCAUAGUGAUCCGGUGGUUCUGAAUGGAAGGGCCAUCGCUCAACGGAUAAAAGGUACUCCGGGGAUAACAGGCUGAUACCGCCCAAGAGUUCAUAUCGACGGCGGUGUUUGGCACCUCGAUGUCGGCUCAUCACAUCCUGGGGCUGAAGUAGGUCCCAAGGGUAUGGCUGUUCGCCAUUUAAAGUGGUACGCGAGCUGGGUUUAGAACGUCGUGAGACAGUUCGGUCCCUAUCUGCCGUGGGCGCUGGAGAACUGAGGGGGGCUGCUCCUAGUACGAGAGGACCGGAGUGGACGCAUCACUGGUGUUCGGGUUGUCAUGCCAAUGGCACUGCCCGGUAGCUAAAUGCGGAAGAGAUAAGUGCUGAAAGCAUCUAAGCACGAAACUUGCCCCGAGAUGAGUUCUCCCUGACCCUUUAAGGGUCCUGAAGGAACGUUGAAGACGACGACGUUGAUAGGCCGGGUGUGUAAGCGCAGCGAUGCGUUGAGCUAACCGGUACUAAUGAACCGUGAG
This 2521-nucleotide ribosomal RNA is filed under the name Shigella sonnei. Its description in RNAcentral is "partial 23S ribosomal RNA". It matches the Rfam family "Bacterial large subunit ribosomal RNA", at positions 414 to 2915 of the family's 2925-position model. The record is from RNAcentral. Lineage: Bacteria; Pseudomonadati; Pseudomonadota; Gammaproteobacteria; Enterobacterales; Enterobacteriaceae.